CGUAAGAGAAAAAGCAGCAGGGUGUCAUAUUGCGUUUACUGUACUCCUUUUGUCUGUCAUUGUGAAGUAUUUCAAACACCAUUUUGAGAAAAAAGAUGAGAAAGAAGACUGAGUUAAAUAAGGAAUGAAAUUGAAUAAAAGUUGGCUGAUUUGGGUCAGAACCCACAUGUGGUCUAGUCUGGUCUGACGUGUUCCAGUCUCCUGAGAUAGGGGGCACUGUUUCUAAAAUGAGUCUCUCAGAGGAGCCAGAGAGCAAAGGUGGAACCCUCAGCACUGACAGAAAGAGGGUCCAGGUAGAAAGAGCAGGGUCACCUGUACCCAGCUGUCUGUCUAUGAAGAGUGAUCAUUCAAUGCCUGAACCAAUCGACUUCAGGGGAGAGUUCACAGGUGAUCAAA
Long non-coding RNA from Conger conger (European conger), 396 nucleotides. RefSeq lists it as uncharacterized. The transcript is spliced from 3 exons. The record is from RefSeq and is a predicted model, not a curated record. NCBI's taxonomy places the organism in Eukaryota, Metazoa, Chordata, Actinopteri, Anguilliformes, Congridae.